UACGGGGGGGGCAAGCGUUGUUCGGAAUUACUGGGCGUAAAGGGCGCGUAGGCGGUCCGACAAGUCAGGGGUGAAAUCCUGCAGCUUAACUGCAGAAGUGCCUUUGAUACUGUCGGUCUUGAGGGAGAUAGGGGUGUGCGGAACUCACAGUGGAGCGGUGAAAUGCGUUGAUAUUGUGAGGAACGCCGGAGGCGAAAGCGGCGCACUGGAUCUCUUCUGACGCUGAGGCGCGAAAGCUAGGGGAGCAAACGGG
This 253-nucleotide ribosomal RNA is filed under the name uncultured bacterium. RNAcentral describes it as "partial 16S ribosomal RNA". It matches the Rfam family "Bacterial small subunit ribosomal RNA", at positions 524 to 776 of the family's 1533-position model. The record is from RNAcentral.